This 254-nucleotide ribosomal RNA is filed under the name uncultured bacterium. Its description in RNAcentral is "partial 16S ribosomal RNA". It matches the Rfam family "Bacterial small subunit ribosomal RNA", at positions 524 to 776 of the family's 1533-position model. The record is from RNAcentral.
UACGGAGGGGGCUAGCGUUGUUCGGAAUUACUGGGCGUAAAGGGCGCGCAGGCGGCUGCUCAAGUCAGGCGUGAAAGGCCUGGGCUCAACCCGGGAAUUGCGCUUGAGACUGGGCUGGCUUGAGUGCGGGAGAGGAUGGUGGAAUUCCCAGUGUAGAGGUGAAAUUCGUAGAUAUCUGGAGGAACACCGGUGGCGAAGGCGGCAUCCUGGACCGACACUGACACUGAGGAGCGAAAGCCAGGGGAGCAAACGGG